This 253-nucleotide ribosomal RNA is filed under the name uncultured bacterium. Its description in RNAcentral is "partial 16S ribosomal RNA". It matches the Rfam family "Bacterial small subunit ribosomal RNA", at positions 524 to 776 of the family's 1533-position model. The record is from RNAcentral.
UACGUAGGGUGCGAGCGUUAAUCGGAAUUACUGGGCGUAAAGCGUGCGCAGGCGGUGAUGUAAGACAGGUGUGAAAUCCCCGGGCUUAACCUGGGAACUGCAUUUGUGACUGCAUCGCUGGAGUGCGGCAGAGGGGGAUGGAAUUCCGCGUGUAGCAGUGAAAUGCGUAGAGAUCAGCAGGAACACCCGUGGCGAAGGCGGCCCCCUGGGCCGUACCUGACGCUGAGGCGCGAAGGCUAGGGGAGCGAACGGG